AACCCGGAGAAAUUCGGACUAAUAUCCCAUGAUGAUAUUGAGGGGCAUCCUUUAAUAUUUAAAGCUCAGGCGGUACGGGAUGGGCAUGCGGAACAUUAGCUAGUUGGCAGGGUAACGGCCUACCAAGGCUACGAUGUUUAGGGGACCUGAGAGGGUUAUCCCCCACACUGGUACUGAGACACGGACCAGACUCCUACGGGAGGCAGCAGUGAGGAAUAUUGGUCAAUGGGCGCAAGCCUGAACCAGCCAUCCCGCGUGAAGGAAGAAGGCGCUAUGCGUUGUAAACUUCUUUUCCAGGGGGUGAAUAAUUCCGAUGUAUCGGGAGAUGACGGUACCCUGGGAAUAAGCAUCGGCUAACUCCGUGCCAGCAGCCGCGGUAAUACGGAGGAUGCGAGCGUUAUCCGGAUUUAUUGGGUUUAAAGGGUGCGUAGGCGGAACAAUAAGUCAGUGGUGAAAUUCUGCAGCUUAACUGUAGACUUGCCGUUGAUACUGUUGGUCUUGAGUAUGGUCAAGGCAGGCGGAAUGUGUAAUGUAGCGGUGAAAUGCUUAGAUAUUACACAGAACACCGAUUGCGAAGGCAGCUUGCUGGGCCAUUACUGACGCUGAUGCACGAAAGCGUGGGGAUCGAACAGGAUUAGAUACCCUGGUAGUCCACGCAGUAAACGAUG
This 668-nucleotide ribosomal RNA is filed under the name uncultured Bacteroidota bacterium. RNAcentral describes it as "bacterial SSU rRNA". It matches the Rfam family "Bacterial small subunit ribosomal RNA", at positions 145 to 811 of the family's 1533-position model. The record is from RNAcentral. Lineage: Bacteria; Pseudomonadati; Bacteroidota.